This 492-nucleotide ribosomal RNA is filed under the name uncultured bacterium. Its description in RNAcentral is "partial 16S ribosomal RNA". It matches the Rfam family "Bacterial small subunit ribosomal RNA", at positions 28 to 507 of the family's 1533-position model. The record is from RNAcentral.
GAUGAACGCUAGCUACAGGCUUAACACAUGCAAGUCGAGGGGCAGCGGUAUCGACAUCUUGCUCUCGGUAUCCGGCGACAGGCGCACGGGUCAGUAACGCGACCCGCCCCUGCCUCUUACAUGGGUUCAGCCUUGCGGAGGUAAGAUUAAUUACCGUUGUUUUCCGCGUCCCUCAUUAGGCAUUGACCAAUUUUCUAUCGGUAUGAGAUGGAGACGCGACCCAUUAGCUUGUUGGCGGGGUAACGGCCCACCAAGGCAUCGAUGGGUAGGGGUUCUGAGAGGAAGGUCCCCCACAUUGGAGCGGAGACACCGUCCAAACUCCGACGGGAGGCAGCAGUGAGGAAUAUCGGUCAAGGGGCGGAAGCCUGAACCAGCCAAGUAGCGGGCAGGAAGGCGGCCCUCCGGGUUGUAAACUGCUUUUAGUUGGGAAAAAAGCGGAGGUAGUGAGCCCCCUUGCAUGUACCAUCAGAAAAAGGACCGGCUAAUACCGUG